This 791-nucleotide ribosomal RNA is filed under the name uncultured bacterium. RNAcentral describes it as "bacterial SSU rRNA". It matches the Rfam family "Bacterial small subunit ribosomal RNA", at positions 8 to 798 of the family's 1533-position model. The record is from RNAcentral.
AGAGUUUGAUCAUGGCUCAGGAUGAACGCUAGCGGCAGGCUUAACACAUGCAAGUCGAGGGGUAGAGGUUGCUUGCAACCUUGAGACCAGCGCACGGGUGCGUAACGCGUAUGCAACCUACCUUUUACAGAGGGAUAGCCCAGAGAAAUUUGGAUUAAUACCUCAUAGUAUAUAUCUUUCGCAUGUUAGGUAUAUUAAAGUUCCAACGGUAAAAGAUGGGCAUGCGUCCUAUUAGCUAGAUGGUAAGGUAACGGCUUACCAUGGCUACGAUAGGUAGGGGUCCUGAGAGGGAGAUCCCCCACACUGGUACUGAGACACGGACCAGACUCCUACGGGAGGCAGCAGUGAGGAAUAUUGGACAAUGGGCGCAAGCCUGAUCCAGCCAUGCCGCGUGCAGGAAGAAGCAUCUAUGGUGUGUAAACUGCUUUUGUACAGGAAGAAACAUCCCGACGUGUCGGGACUUGACGGUACUGUAAGAAUAAGGAUCGGCUAACUCCGUGCCAGCAGCCGCGGUAAUACGGAGGAUCCAAGCGUUAUCCGGAAUCAUUGGGUUUAAAGGGUCCGUAGGCGGUUUGGUAAGUCAGUGGUGAAAGCCCGCAGCUCAACUGUGGAACGGCCAUUGAUACUGCCAGACUUGAAUUACAAGGAAGUAACUAGAAUAUGUAGUGUAGCGGUGAAAUGCUUAGAUAUUACAUGGAAUACCAAUUGCGAAGGCAGGUUACUACUUGUGGAUUGACGCUGAUGGACGAAAGCGUGGGGAGCGAACAGGAUUAGAUACCCCGGUAGUCCAA